AUGAACGCUGGCGGCGCGCCUAACACAUGCAAGUCGAACGAUUAAAGCACCUUCGGGUGUGUAUAAAGUGGCGAACGGCUGAGUAACACGUGGGCAACCUGCCCCUUUCAUUGGGAUAGCCACGGGAAACCGUGGAUAAUACCGAAUACUUCGAGACUUCCGCAUGGAAGACUCGAGAAAGCUCCGGCGGAGAGGGAUGGGCCCGCGGCCUGUUAGCUUGUUGGUGGGGUAACGGCCUGCCAAGGCAAUGAUGGGUAGCUGGGUUGAGAGACCGACCAGCCAGAUUGGGACUGAGACACGGCCCAGACUCCUACGGGAGGCAGCAGUGGGGAAUCUUGCACAAUGGGCGAAAGCCUGAUGCAGCGACGCCGCGUGCGGGAUGAAGGCCUUCGGGUUGUAAACCGCUUUCAGCAGGGACGAGGCGAAAGUGACGGUACCUGCAGAAGAAGCCCCGGCUAACUACGUG
This 466-nucleotide ribosomal RNA is filed under the name uncultured bacterium. RNAcentral describes it as "partial 16S ribosomal RNA". It matches the Rfam family "Bacterial small subunit ribosomal RNA", at positions 29 to 507 of the family's 1533-position model. The record is from RNAcentral.